GGGCGAUUGGCGCAGCGGCUAGCGUACUUCGUUCACACCGAAGGGGUCGUAGGUUCGAUUCCUACAUCGCCCA
RNAcentral lists this transfer RNA (73 nucleotides) under Bifidobacterium breve. RNAcentral describes it as "tRNA-Val". It matches the Rfam family "tRNA". Rfam says of the family: Transfer RNA (tRNA) molecules are approximately 80 nucleotides in length. Their secondary structure includes four short double-helical elements and three loops (D, anti-codon, and T loops). Lineage: Bacteria; Bacillati; Actinomycetota; Actinomycetes; Bifidobacteriales; Bifidobacteriaceae. The record is from RNAcentral.